This 378-nucleotide ribosomal RNA is filed under the name uncultured eukaryote. Its description in RNAcentral is "partial 18S ribosomal RNA". It matches the Rfam family "Eukaryotic small subunit ribosomal RNA", at positions 592 to 976 of the family's 1831-position model. The record is from RNAcentral.
CAAUAGCGUAUAUUAAAGUUGUUGCAGUUAAAAAGCUCGUAGUUGGAUUUCGGGACGGGCCAGUUGGUCCGCCGCAAGGUGUGUUACUGACUGGUCUGUUCUUCUUCGCAAAGACUGCGUGUGCUCUUCGCUGAGUGUGCGUAGGAUUUACGACGUUUACUUUGAAAAAAUUAGAGUGUUCAAAGCAGGCUAUCGCUUGAAUACAUGAGCAUGGAAUAAUGGAAUAGGACUUUGGUCCUAUUUUGUUGGUUUCUAGGACCGAAGUAAUGAUUAAGAGGGACAAUUGGGGGCAUCCGUAUUUCGUUGUCAGAGGUGAAAUUCUUGGAUUUACGAAAGACGAACAACUGCGAAAGCACUUGCCAAGAGUGUUUUCAUUAA